Molecule: long non-coding RNA, 384 nt
Organism: Nicotiana attenuata
Lineage: Eukaryota; Viridiplantae; Streptophyta; Magnoliopsida; Solanales; Solanaceae
Exons: 2
Source: RefSeq, a predicted model, not a curated record
GUAUAUGAUAAUGAAAGAAGGGAAGAUACCCGAAGAAUUGCAGGGAUAUUUGUUUCUCCUCCUCGUUCAACGCCAAGUGAUGCGGCUAGCGGAUCCAUUUUACCCACGGAUAUAAGAAGAUCAUCCGGUGGAAGUAAUCCUAACGACAACCAUUGAAGUUGCUUGCAAAUGUAUUAGAUAAUUAAGUAUCGUACUCGAUUGAAUGAUCAUAGUAGAUCUUUUGUCCAAAAUGGUUGGAGUGGAUGUUAUGUUUAAUGUUAGUUUUAAGACUUAUAAUAUUGAUGUUUUGUGUUUAAUGGUUGGAGUUGUUGUGUUUAAUGCAAAUUUUUGAGACUAAUGUAUUUUGUGGUUUAUUAAUAUAUUGAUGUUACUUGAUUCCACUAA